UCAUCAUCAAAAAAAAUAAGUAGGUAAUUAUAAGUAUAUAGCAAGAAAAAUCUAUCAGCACCCAUCAGCUUUAACACAUCUUAUGGGAAUAAAAAAAAUAGAUCAUAGCAAAUCUAUGAAGCCAUUCCCUUCAAUAUUCAUCCAGUCUAGAUUAUCAUCAGAAAAAAUAAGGAGGCAACCAUGAGAAUAUAGCAAGCAA
RNAcentral lists this long non-coding RNA (199 nucleotides) under Elaeis guineensis (African oil palm). RNAcentral's name for it is "long non-coding RNA (EGUI_LNC040868)". Lineage: Eukaryota; Viridiplantae; Streptophyta; Magnoliopsida; Arecales; Arecaceae. The record is from RNAcentral.